Molecule: ribosomal RNA, 468 nt
Filed under: uncultured bacterium
Lineage: Bacteria
Description: partial 16S ribosomal RNA
Rfam family: Bacterial small subunit ribosomal RNA
Source: RNAcentral
GACGAACGCUGGCGGCGUGCUUAACACAUGCAAGUCGAACGGAAAGGCCCGGCUUUUGUGGGGUGCUCGAGUGGCGAACGGGUGAGUAUCACGUGAGUAACCUGCCCUUGACUUUGGGGUAACUUAAGGAAACUGGGGCGAAUAUCGGGUAGAAGCUCCUGCUACAUGGUGGGGGUGGGAAAGAUUCGGCGGUUGGGGAUGGACUCGCGGCUUAUCAGCUUGUUGGUGGGGUAGUGGCUUACCAAGGCAUUGACGGGUAGCCGGCCUGAGAGGGUGACCGGCCACAUUGGGACUGAGAUACGGCCCAGACUCCUACGGGAGGCAGCAGUGGGGAAUAUUGCACAAUGGGCGGAAGCCUGAUGCAGCAACGCCGCGUGCGGGAUGACGGCCUUCGGGUUGUAAACCGCUUUCGCCUGUGACGAAGCGUGAGUGACGGUAAUGGGUAAAGAAGCACCGGCUAACUACGUG